RNAcentral lists this ribosomal RNA (394 nucleotides) under uncultured bacterium. RNAcentral's name for it is "bacterial SSU rRNA". It matches the Rfam family "Bacterial small subunit ribosomal RNA", at positions 28 to 424 of the family's 1533-position model. The record is from RNAcentral.
GACGAACGCUGGCGGCGUGCUUAACACAUGCAAGUCGAGCGGUAAGGCCCUUCCGGGGGUACACGAGCGGCGAACGGGUGAGUAACACGUGGGUGACCUGCCCUCAGCUCUGGGAUAAGCCUGGGAAACUGGGUCUAAUACCGGAUAUGACUCCAUGACGCAUGUUGUGGGGUGGAAAGCCUUGUGCGGCUGAGGAUGGGCCCGCGGCCUAUCAGCUUGUUGGGUGGGGGAUGGCCUACCAAGGCGACGACGGGUAGCCGGCCUGAGAGGGCGACCGGCCACACUGGGACUGAGACACGGGCCCAGACUCCUACGGGGAGGCAGCAGUGGGGAAUCUUGCGCAAUGGGCGAAAGCCUGACGCAGCGACGCCGCGUGAGGGAUGACGGCCUGGUU